CACCUCUCAGGAUUGCACCUGGAGAGUUUCCAGUCCUCUACCAGUCUCGACUAUGGGACGAAGAGUCAAGCAGAGGCACAUCCAUUCCAUUCCUAGCUUGGGCAGUGGCUAGCGAGCGGAAGGUCAUCCGCUACAAGU
Ornithorhynchus anatinus (platypus) is the source of this 138-nucleotide small nucleolar RNA. NCBI's taxonomy places the organism in Eukaryota, Metazoa, Chordata, Mammalia, Monotremata, Ornithorhynchidae. The record is from RefSeq and is a predicted model, not a curated record.